Molecule: ribosomal RNA, 300 nt
Filed under: uncultured bacterium
Lineage: Bacteria
Description: bacterial SSU rRNA
Rfam family: Bacterial small subunit ribosomal RNA
Source: RNAcentral
UAUACGGGAAUCUACCUUAUAGUUUGGUUAAAUGCCUUAUAUGUAAAGAAUUAUUCGCUAUAAGAUGAGCCUUUGUAGGAUUAGGUAGUUGGUAAGGUAAUAGCUUACCAAGCCGAUGAUCCUUAAUUGGUCUGAGAGGAUGUACAAUCACACUAGAACUGAGACAAGGUCUAGACAUCUACGGAUGGCAGCAGUGGGGAAUAUUGAACAAUGAGCGAAAGCUUGAUUCAGCGAUAUAGAGUGAAUGAUGACAGCCAUUUGGUUGUAAAGUUCUUUUACCAAGGAAGAUUUUGACUUUAC